RNAcentral lists this ribosomal RNA (305 nucleotides) under uncultured bacterium. RNAcentral describes it as "bacterial SSU rRNA". It matches the Rfam family "Bacterial small subunit ribosomal RNA", at positions 336 to 657 of the family's 1533-position model. The record is from RNAcentral.
UUCCUACGGGACGCAGCAGUGGGGAAUAUUGGGCAAUGGGCGCAAGCCUGACCCAGCAACGCCGCGUGAAGGAAGAAGGCUUUCGGGUUGUAAACUUCUUUUAAGAGGGAGGAGCAGAAGACGGUACCUCUUGAAUAAGCCACGGCUAACUACGUGCCAGCAGCCGCGGUAAUACGUAGGAUGCGAGCGUUAUCCGGAUUUAUUGGGUUUAAAGGGUGCGUAGGCGGAAUGCCAAGUCAGCGGUAAAAUCGCGGGGCUCAACCUCGCUCCGCCGUUGAAACUGGCGUUCUUGAGUGGGCGAGAAG